RNAcentral lists this small nucleolar RNA (89 nucleotides) under Castor canadensis (American beaver). RNAcentral describes it as "Small nucleolar RNA SNORA32 (ENSCCNG00000006894.1)". The record is from RNAcentral. Lineage: Eukaryota; Metazoa; Chordata; Mammalia; Rodentia; Castoridae.
UAGGAAGCGUGAGGCCCUGCCAAAAAAAAAAAUUCCCACUAGGUUUUCAGUAUGCUACCUUGUCAGCAAUCAACUGAUUGGGAACAACA